RNAcentral lists this long non-coding RNA (892 nucleotides) under Coturnix japonica (Japanese quail). Its description in RNAcentral is "lncRNA (ENSCJPG00005005935.1)". The record is from RNAcentral. Lineage: Eukaryota; Metazoa; Chordata; Aves; Galliformes; Phasianidae.
UAGGGGAUAAUGGGAGCCCAUAGGGAUGAAUGGGAGCCCAUAGGUAAUAAUGGGAGCCUGCAAUAGCGACCUCCUGCAGGUAGGGGGCGCUGUAACACCGAGUCCCAUAGGGAAUAAUGGAGCCCAUAGGGAAUAACGGAGUUCCAUAGGGAAUAAUGGGGUCCGACCACACGGUCCUCCUGCAGGUAGGGGGCGCUGUAACGCCGAGUCCCAUAGGGAAUAAUGGAGUCCCAUAGGGGAUAAUGGGAGCCCAUAGGGAAUAAUGGGAGCCCACAGGGAUGAAUGGGAGCCAGCAAUGGAGUCCUUCUGCAGCCGUGCCCCGAGGACUCGCUGACCCCAAUGAGGCUGGCCGUCAAUUACUCCCUGGACCCCGAAUACCCCACAGACCCCACAGACGACCCCAUUGCCGUCAUAGACCCCAUAACCAACUCGGCCUGGAUUGAGGUGCCGUACGAGCAGCGCUGCGGCUCGGCCGGGCUGUGUGACCCGAUGUGAGUUUGUCGGCUAGAGCGCCCCUGGCGGAGCUGUGUUCCUUGGAGGACCGGAAGUGACGGCCGCCAUCUUGGUGCCGCUGGAAACCUAAAGAACCGGAGGGACGGACCCGGAGUCACCUCAAUUCCGGAAUGCGGCCGGAAGUGCUUUCAGGAGGGCUACGGCCAGCUAUGGGCUCAACCCCGGUGCCUGUGGACUGCAGGGAGGGGGCAGAGGGGGGGACAUUGAGGUGCCACGUGGGACACCCCGUAUUUAGGGCUGACAGCACGGUGCUGCUGGAGCUGAGCCUGGAGCUGAACCAGAACCAGUCGUGGGGGGGAGAGAUUCUAUGUAUUGCAUCGGUGGGUGUCAUCUAUGGACGGAAUCACAGGUGGGUUAUGGGGCGACCUUAUGGGAUGAU